GGGGCUUUGAUUUGAAAUUAUAUUUUGAUUUAGUUAUGAAUUAUAAUUAAUGUAAAGGUGUAACUUUGAAUAAUAGGUUUCGAAGGAUACUUUUAGGAUUUGAUUGAAUCUGUCCAUUCAAUGUUCUACAGAGGUAAGUAAUGAACUAUCUUCUUGAGAUAUUUUAUAAUUAUUUUAAAAAUAAAUAUUAGACUUUAAAUUAUGCAUGAUUUAUAAAA
This 218-nucleotide long non-coding RNA is filed under the name Elaeis guineensis (African oil palm). RNAcentral's name for it is "long non-coding RNA (EGUI_LNC013906)". Lineage: Eukaryota; Viridiplantae; Streptophyta; Magnoliopsida; Arecales; Arecaceae. The record is from RNAcentral.